Molecule: ribosomal RNA, 492 nt
Filed under: uncultured bacterium
Lineage: Bacteria
Description: partial 16S ribosomal RNA
Rfam family: Bacterial small subunit ribosomal RNA
Source: RNAcentral
AGUGAACGCUGGCGGUAGGCCUAACACAUGCAAGUCGAACGGCAGCACAGUAAGAGCUUGCUCUUACGGGUGGCGAGUGGCGGACGGGUGAGGAAUACAUCGGAAUCUACUUUUUCGUGGGGGAUAACGUAGGGAAACUUACGCUAAUACCGCAUACGCCCUACGGGUGAAAGCAGGGGAUCUUCGGACCUUGCGCGAUUGAAUGAGCCGAUGUCGGAUUAGCUAGUUGGCGGGGUAAAGGCCCACCAAGGCGACGAUCCGUAGCUGGUCUGAGAGGAUGGUCAGCCACACUGGAACUGGGACACGGUCCAGACUACUACGGGAGGCAGCAGUGGGGAAUAUUGGACAGAGGGCGCAAGCCUGAUCCAGCCAUACCGCGUGGGUGAAGAAGGCCUUCGGGUUGUAAAGCCCUUUUGUUGGGAAAGAAAAGCAGCAGGUUAAGACCCCGCUGUUCUGACGGUACCCAAAGAAUAAGCACCGGCUAACUUCGUG